RNAcentral lists this ribosomal RNA (615 nucleotides) under Triticum aestivum (bread wheat). Its description in RNAcentral is "partial small subunit ribosomal RNA". The record is from RNAcentral. Lineage: Eukaryota; Viridiplantae; Streptophyta; Magnoliopsida; Poales; Poaceae.
AUGCAUACCAUACUAGGGCAUUUUGCGAGUUGUGUGCGAGGGAAGUUGAAGCAGGCAAAAGGGGCGGGGGUGUUCUUGAGUCCUAGAGGAUAUAAGAAUUUGGGGGAGAGGUGGUUGCAGAUAACUAAGAAAAGUUAUGUGAGGAUGCAAUUCAAGAAUAGAUGGGAAAAUCUCAAAACUAUGUAUUGUCAAUGGAAACAACUGCAACUUGACGCAUCUGGACUUGGAUGGAAUGCUAAGCUAGGAACCAUUGAUGCUGAUACUGAUUGGUGGAACACUCACCUAAUAAAAAACCCGGAGCAUGCAAAGUAUAGGAAUGGAGGACCACCCAACUUGACUGAAAUGGACCUCAUGUUUGAUGACCGUCAUGUCACCGGUGCCGAGUCAGGUAUCCCCGGUGAGAUACCAUUGGACAAGGAGGAUGUUAGUGGUGACACUGAUAGUGCAGAGGAUGAUGAUGAAGUCAUCAAAGCAAAAGCAAAGAAGCAACAAAAGACCAAGUCCUGUAAAGAUGAUUUUUCUGCUCAAGAUGAGAAGAACCCAUUUCUUCGGAUGUACAAGAAGGCUAGUGAUGUGAUAUGUGUAACGGUUGAAAGUAUAAAAGGAAGCAUCUAG